Molecule: long non-coding RNA, 1028 nt
Organism: Pseudophryne corroboree (corroboree frog)
Lineage: Eukaryota; Metazoa; Chordata; Amphibia; Anura; Myobatrachidae
Exons: 4
Source: RefSeq, a predicted model, not a curated record
ACCAAGCAACCACACCAGGUGCCCUGAUCACAGUGGUGUACGAUACAUACCUAACGGAACGUCACAUCACCACAUGACCAGGAAAAACACAGUAGCCGUUGCUAGGCCACCGCAGUAACAAGUGAAAACAUAACAUUGUAAACAAUGGUUGUUUCAUACAAGAGCUGGUGACAUUUUACAGUCAGUUUCGUGGUCCCCAUUUACACUGGCUGCAUUCAUGGGCAAUGGAGAGCUACAAAACAAACACCGAUAGAUCGGCAUCCUCAAUGAAAGUGAUUCGGAUGAAGGCCCCUCAAUAAGUACUUCCGGAUUAGUGUAAAUGAGACUUCCGCCAUAACUCUCCUGCUGGAAACCAAAGCAGAAUGGUAGCAAUGUUACUUAAGCUGCAGACUUGGAAGACAGCCCAGUAAAGUUGCUUCAAGUUGAGAACACAAUGGUUCUGUACCUGAGUCCUGCCCGUGGGUGGUGUCUCCCCCUCUUCCAGGUGGUGGCUGUUUGAUUUCAUUUCUUGCUUCUGCCGCUGACGCAUGAUGUAUUCAUAAGUGCUGAGUUUGUUCCACACUGAGUGAAAUGGGCACAACACAGUUACCAAAGUGUCUUGUAUAUUCAUCUUGCUCGCUCAUAUUACUAUUCUACAAAUAUAUCAAGCAGGGUGAUACGCAGGAUUUUCCCUCUUUUUGGAAAGAGUUGUAACAGCGGGUUGGGUACGGGAUCCCGGCGGUAUGAAUACAGAUGCUGGGAUCCCGGCAGGUGGGCAACGAAGCUCUAUUCCCACUCCAUGGGUGUCAUGGACACCCAGGAGUGAGAAUAGCGGUGGCGGCGCUGCCUGCAAUCUAUCAGUCGGGGUCCCGGCAUCUGUAUUCUGACCGCCGGGUUCCUGACUAAAUCCCGUAACAGCCAUUUGGGAAACAGGGCCAAAUAGGGAAUGAAAUAUAAUUAACAUUCUCAACUGAUACACAAAAAAAAAGAAAAAAAAAGUUACUUCUGUUUGCAUAUUACUAAUUGCGGUAAAAUUACUUUAAAACACA